RNAcentral lists this transfer RNA (71 nucleotides) under Fukomys damarensis (Damara mole-rat). It matches the Rfam family "tRNA". Rfam says of the family: Transfer RNA (tRNA) molecules are approximately 80 nucleotides in length. Their secondary structure includes four short double-helical elements and three loops (D, anti-codon, and T loops). The record is from Rfam by way of RNAcentral. Lineage: Eukaryota; Metazoa; Chordata; Mammalia; Rodentia; Bathyergidae.
GGGGGUAUAGCUCAGUGACAGAGCACUUACUUCCUAUGUAUAAGGCCUGGGUUCAGUCCCCAGGACCUCAA